This 1409-nucleotide long non-coding RNA is filed under the name Vulpes vulpes (red fox). RNAcentral describes it as "lncRNA (ENSVVUG00000016120.1)". The record is from RNAcentral. Lineage: Eukaryota; Metazoa; Chordata; Mammalia; Carnivora; Canidae.
UUUAUUUGAGAGGUAAGUCCAUAAAGCUCUAGCAGCUGAGUGGGAAAUGAUACAGGAAAGGGAACAGAACCAAGAAGGGUAUGUUAUUGAAUUUAUUCUUACUGGACAACUGGGACUCAAUGCUGCUGAAGUUUGGUGGCUAGAGUAGAUCAUAGCCCAGAGUUUUCCCAGCUAAGAGGUUAAACUGAAGAAUUUAUCCAUCAGAUCCUAUUAGUUACUGAUAGAGGGAUUCUGAGGGUGGGAAGAGUGUCAUAAUGCCUCAGUUCUUCUGGUGUCUACCUUGGGCACAGACUGAGUGGGCUCCAGUGAUUAGAGAAAGCCUCUUGGGAAGAGUUCCAGGGCUCCUGUUUGUAAAACUUUCAGUCGGCCUUCCUUGGAGUAUAUAUGACAUGGUGGAAACAAGUGGAACAAUGAUGAAGCAAAUAUAGUCAUAUUUCACACACACACAGUACCCAUCAGAAAAUAUAAUAAUCACCAUCUUAUGCAAGAACAAUAUCAGAAACAAUUGGGGGAGUAAACCAAGGAGAAAUGCAAGCAGAAAAAAGGCAGAGAAAUAUCAAUACAUUAUGAUUAUCAUGGUUUUUGUUUUUAUUGUUUCAGAUUCUUAAUUUGGCACUCAAGACUUUCAGAAAUCCAGCCCUAGUUUAUCUUUCUGGCAUCAUCUCUUCCUAUUUCAGAACACGUAUUUUUACAUCAGUAAAACUAGUUUACUGGGUUUCUUUUUAACUUUUUCAGUGUUUUCUUCUUUUUAACUUUUCAUGUGCUCUGGCCCUUACAUGUAUUUGUAAUAUCUUCCCCAUUUAUGACCAGGUCUAGGAAAUUCUUCCCAUUUCCAAACACUCAGCAACAUUACCCCUUCUUGGAUUCUACGUCAGACAUAAUCUCUUUCUCCUCAGAACUCCUUUGUUCUUACUAUGUGUAUUGAAAUAGGUUCAUUUUGCCAUUGAUAAUUGUGUGUCUCUUAGCUAAGAACUGAAGCAAUGGGAGAAGUGAAAUAGUCAAGGCAGGAUAUGUACAUGGCAAAAAGAAGAAUGCUAAAAAUGGAUUUCUAGAACAUACCAAUGAAAGCAUUUAGAAUUAGCUCAUGUCCCUGCUUUUCACUAUAUUUUCUUUCUUUGCUUAAUAUAUGAACAAAUAUUCACCUUUCUUUUAUCUGUCUCAAUGGACCACUUGAGCUGAUACGUAUGAGUUAAUCUAGUCUGUGUCCCUAAAGCAAAUAUUUUCUACAGGUCUGUCACAAAUUGGACCAAAAGGAUGCCCCCAUUUCAAAAGAACUGUCUUGUUUUUCAAAUGUGCUUUUCUUUAAGAUACAGAUACACAUUGCUUGGACAUAUGCAUGCCCUGAUCUCAUCUACAAACACUACUGUCCAUUUUGGCUAAUGAAAUAAAUAAAAUACCAUCAAUUUUCA